Molecule: ribosomal RNA, 4719 nt
Filed under: Triticum aestivum (bread wheat)
Lineage: Eukaryota; Viridiplantae; Streptophyta; Magnoliopsida; Poales; Poaceae
Description: partial small subunit ribosomal RNA
Source: RNAcentral
ACCUAGCAAGGGGUAAAGAUCGCCGCUCUCGAGCCUCCGUCUCUCCGUACCGCUAAAACCAACCUCCGGAGUGAGCGACUAGAGAGCUCCGUGAAACCACCAGUCCGGGCGCCAAGAGGGGGGAGGAGACGACCGACGAAUAGAGGUUCGAGCACGAGACUAAACUAAGUGGAGACAAGAACAGUCCCUCUCUCCCUCUCCGCUUCAGCUGCGGUACCGCUAAACCGACGCCAAAGAAGAGCCCAGCAAACUAAGCACUGCGAGGAAGAAAGCACCACCAGCUGUUCGGGACGCAGAGAGGGGGGCAGGGGAUGGACUCCAACAACCAAACGUUCGUGNNNNNNNNNNNNNNNNNNNNNNNNNNNNNNNNNNNNNNNNNNNNNNNNNNNNNNNNNNNNNNNNNNNNNNNNNNNNNNNNNNNNNNNNNNNNNNNNNNNNNNNNNNNNNNNNNNNNNNNNNNNGAAAGUAAAAGGGAAGUAAAAAGACACACUAAACCAUCUAGACCAACUAACAGAGCAACAUAAGCAGAUGAACGUAAACAGCACACACCAUGAAAAACAACGUGUACAUUUAAAUCGCCACCUAGGGAGAACAGAUAAAACUAAAGAAGAAGGCUUACAUCUACAUCAAAAGGACAACUCCGGAAAGUUAAUCGCCACAACUAGGUAACCGCCGACGAUCACACCAUCGAACUACAAACAGACCAGAUCGGACAAAAACUACAUCUACACACCAAUAGAUCACAUUAAAGACUACACCUACAUACCAACGAAGCGAAAAGUGGACAACAAACUAAGACUUGACUUAAAGAAGUCAAUUCAUUAUCCAUAAACCAGACAUGAUGACGUCACAUUAAAACUCACCUAAAGUGACAUUAAUUCAUUGUCGACAAACCGAUGUUAUCUGACGUUAUCACUUACCGGUAACAUUUACAUUACAAGCCAAAUUAAAAUGUCACUAUAGAGAUGACAUCAAAAUCAGAUAUCAUCAGAUAGAAUGUGAACAAAAAGUGACAUUAACCGUUCACAUUUACAUAAUAAAUCCAAAUAAGACCUGACUUAAAGAAGUUAAUUCGUUGUCAACAAACCAGACAUGAUAUCAAUAUAGAGAUAAAUUUAAAGUGACUAUAGAGACACAUUGAAAGUCACAUCUACCACCAUGUAAAUUGACUUAACACACGAAAGUAACAAAAUAUGAAAACAAAUGUACCACCAUGUAAUUGACUUAAAAGGUCAUGUAUCUCUUUUAUUAAAUUACUACUAUCUACAUCCGUACGUUUACAACUUAGAGGAUCAGCCAACUCAGAGGACUACACAUGCACAACCAGACUUUUUUUAAGACAAAAUCAAAGUCACAAAGCCUGACAUUAAAGAUCACAUUAAAGCUCACCUAAAAGUAAUAUCAAAGUAAAAAAUCAGAUCACAUUACAUAAUCGUGUUUACAACAAAAGUCAAGUUUAAAUGUCACUAUAAAAAAUGACAACCAAGUCCAUAUAUCUGAAAAGAGAGUGACAUUAAAACAAAGAACAUUGAAGGUUAGACACAAUUUGACUUGUUCCCGAAUUGGGGUGGUAAUUAAAUGUGAUAUUUAAUCACAUCGAUUGGACAUUAAAAACAUGAAUGUCAGAUACAUGACCUUAAAAGGCCAGAUUGUACGUCACAUUAAUGUGACCUGAAAGUCACAUUAAUUAAACAAAUAAUACACAUUGGUUGGACUUAAAAACAUGAAUGUCAGAUACGUGACUUUAAAAGGUCAGAUUAAACGUUACAUAAGUCACAUUAAUUGGAUAAAAAAUCAAUGUCAGAUACAUGAUUUUAAAACGUCAGAUUUAACGUCACAUUAAUGUGACAUUUAAAUCACAUUAAACGUUACAUUAAUGUGAGUCACAAAUUGGACACACAAUUCACAUUAAUUGGACUUAAAAACAAGAAUGACAGAUACAUGACAUAAAAAGGUUCUAUUUAACGUCACAUUAAGAUGACAUUAAAAAAAUAGUGUAAAUACAGUAUAUUCCGGACACCCGUCCCUGGGGAACAAUAAAUAGGAUUACCGUCACAUUUAACAAGUCUCUUCGGUGUAUCUGCUCAAAGGAAACGUCGUGUAACAUAUAGUCACAACUCAAAAGUAGUUUUUACCCUCCUCCGAACACAUAGUACUAGUAGCUGAGGUAGACAGAUACUAUAUGAACAGUCCAUAGGAGAGAUACAAGUUAAUCUAGUAGAGUGAGACUCAUACACAAUCCUAUCCUAAGGUAGGAGCACUUUACGCGUCGUCUACGUAGUACGUACUCAUGAAGAGAACGUAGUUUAGAUAGACAUGAUCCUUGAAAGAAGAAGAAUCAAGAGAGCUUACUAUCCAGAGUCGAACUAUUUGGUACAUCCCAAAAAGAGAAAAAGUUCGAGUUUGUGUACGUUGGAGCAACAUAGAAGGUAAAAGAAAACCUUGAAGGACUUCUAUGCUUACAACAUCUCGAGCACGUGAACAGAAAGAUUUGACAUAAACCUGGUCUUGAAGAACACCCGUAGGAAAAACAAAGAUCUGUUCACUAGUGUAAGAACGAGGGAGAGUACUUACUGAAGAUAAUCGAACAGUAUGAGAGAAUCCUUCGAACAACGUGACUUAAAUCGGGGGUGAGGGGGAAAACUUAUCACGUAAACAGUAUGAGAGAAGCUCCAUGUCACUGACGGGAAACUACGAUAUAAGGUAACGUAGAUUAAGCUAACGUCCGUGGACGUGAGUUACAAAGGUCUUUCAUAUACAUUACUUCACAACAUCUUAUUUGUUCUCGUAAAGACGACAGGGGUACACAGGGAAAAACGUACAUACGUACAAAUACGUAUACAGCCCACGUUGUUCAUAUAGUCUUUACGUCAUUUCGUACAACGUUCAGUAACCGUUCCUAAAAAACAUGUAAAACAGAAACUUUGGUCUCAAUAAACACAGUUAAGGUCAUCAGAGAAGUAUGUGUUCAAAAACUAAAGAAGAUAAAUACACAUUUAGUCUCGAACAUUAAAUGUUCCAUCCUACGUCUCAUUAAUGUAUCUCUUCCAGUCUCAUUUAACUAGUUUGUUCAGUGUUAUUAAACUAAAGUCAUAUAUCAAAGAAAACAAUCACAGUUGAUCACAGUCAUGAAUUGGACUAACAGGAGCCAGGAAAAACACUAGUAAAAUGAAAGUGACAAUUAAAAGUACCGACUAAUCAGUAACACUUGAUCAUAGUCUAGUAUCAUUAAACUUGAUAUUGAAACAUGUCAUGGUAUCAAAGAUUUUAUAUCAGUACAUAAGUGUAGAAAUAUGACUUUAGAUUAGACGGUACAGAUUUUAUGUCAGUAUCUAAGUGUCUAUAUUCACAGAUUUGUACUAGUUUUCAUAGACUUGUUACAUGUCAAAGAGUCGUGGUUUCAAAGACUUCAAUGUCGUCAUGGUGAGAAAAACAAACUUGUUCAAAAAGGAUUUACCUUAAGUAUCGAAGGACUUGUACGGGGGAGAGUAGGGGUUUGAAAAUAAAACGGGGCACAACACCGAUAUCGACGCUUAAAGUCUCGUGAUUAAAACGUUGAUCAAAAGUCUUACAUCACAAGGUUUCACAAUAAGGACACUGGUAUCUGAUCAUCAAACACACAAGUAUCAGAUCAACAAGGAUCCCAAAGAGGACGAAGUACGAUAGAAAAGACGGACACAAGAUUAGAAACAAGACAAUUCAACACUAGAAGUUGUAUACACUUACUAGGAGUGUCCCUCGAACAAAAAGAAAGUCUACAGUACUCCAUCCUCUCUCUAGAACCUCCUCACUUACGUAUUCUCAAGCCACAAAUGGACACAAAAAAGACGUAGAGGUAGGUCUAAACACAGGGUCUAGUACCUCCUUAAUGGGAGAGACGACCACACAAAUGUAACGUAAAAGAAUCACCUAAAUAUCACAUUAAGGAUGACCUAAAGCUCACAUUAAGAUUCACCUAAAUGUCACAUUAAGAUUCACUUAAAUGUGACAUUAAGGAUGAUAUAAAUUUCACAAAAAGAAUCACUAAAGGCGACAUUAAGAUUCAUCUAAAUGUCACAUUAAGAUCCACCUAAAUGUGACGUCAAGGAUGAUCUAAAUGUCACAAAAAGAAUCACCUAAAGGUAACAUUAAGAUUCAUCUAAAUGUGACGUCAAGGAUGACCUAAAUGUCACAAAAAGAAUCACCUAAAAGUGACUCUACGAAUCACAUUAAAUCAUGUUUAAUAAACCUAACAAUCAUAUAAAAAUCGCCAUAAAUGUUACAUUUAGAAUCACAUUAAAAUCACCUAAAAUGUCACAUUAAAAUCACCUAAAAUGUGACAUUAAGAAUCACCUGUAUUUCUAAAAUGUCACGUAAAAAGUCACCUAUAAUUUGACUUUGAGAAAUAACCUUAAUAAUCACAUUAUAAUCAAGAAAAGGUCACACAUAAAACAGUAAAGUAAAACCAGGAAAGGAGGGAAACAAUCGAAAUCGAAUCACCUGUAUCCUUUCGAACCGAAGUUUCAACCCACAAAAAGAGGAAAAAAGGACGAAAUACAACCCCGACUUUUACGACCCCACACCUGGGCAAUUCUUGUACAACGACCUGACACAUUUUCGCCCUGUUUAUUCUUGUUUGUCCCCUGUGUACUGUCCCCCUGUGAACAGCAGAACAUUGACCACCUUUUUAUACCGACUUUCACUUAACCAAAAGUAGGCCUACAUUUUAUCUGUCAGGGA